CCCAAGUCCCAUUCCCACGAGGCAUCCCAGAAGGAGACCGUGGUCUAAGGUAUUGAAGGCCCCUGAGAGGUCCAAGAGAACCAAGAGGGACACCCUCCCCCCGUCUAGGUCCCUCUGCUCCUCCCCUCCUCCCCACACGAGGAGCGAAGAAGACUCACCGGGAUGUGGACCAAACCAGGCGACACAGCGACAGGCUGCAAAGGCAACGGGCAAGGAGCAAGAACCAAGAGAGAGAGAGACAGCGACUGCCUUCCUUCCUUCCUGCUGUGAAGAGGAAAGUGAGCUUCCAAAGGGAACGGCCUUCAGUGGGAGAUGCUGCAACGCAUCAGAAAGGUAUCCAUGGCGCCCCCUGCAGGCACGGAACAGCCAUCCAGGGAGGGAGGGAGGGAAGAAGGGAGGGAGGGAGGAAGGGAGAGGAGGAGGAAGAAAGGAAGGAACAAGGAAGUGAUCGGGAAUUGGAAAAUAUAGAUCUUGACAUCUAUAUAUUGUAUGUACAUAAUAAUAAUAAUAAUAAUAAUAACAACUUUAUUCUUAUAUCCCACCAUCAUCUCUCUCCCUGA
This 560-nucleotide long non-coding RNA is filed under the name Anolis carolinensis (green anole). RNAcentral describes it as "lncRNA (ENSACAG00000039265.1)". Lineage: Eukaryota; Metazoa; Chordata; Lepidosauria; Squamata; Anolidae. The record is from RNAcentral.